UACGAAGGGGGCUAGCGUUGCUCGGAAUCACUGGGCGUAAAGCGCACGUAGGCGGAUCUUUAAGUCAGAGGUGAAAUCCCAAGGCUCAACCUUGGAACUGCCUUUGAUACUGGGGAUCUCGAGUCCGGAAGAGGUGAGUGGAACUGCGAGUGUAGAGGUGAAAUUCGUAGAUAUUCGCAAGAACACCAGUGGCGAAGGCGGCUCACUGGUCCGGUACUGACGCUGAGGAGCGAAAGCGUGGGGAGCGAACAGG
Molecule: ribosomal RNA, 253 nt
Filed under: uncultured bacterium
Lineage: Bacteria
Description: partial 16S ribosomal RNA
Rfam family: Bacterial small subunit ribosomal RNA
Source: RNAcentral